This 253-nucleotide ribosomal RNA is filed under the name uncultured bacterium. RNAcentral's name for it is "partial 16S ribosomal RNA". It matches the Rfam family "Bacterial small subunit ribosomal RNA", at positions 524 to 776 of the family's 1533-position model. The record is from RNAcentral.
UACGUAGGUGGCAAGCGUUGUCCGGAAUUACUGGGCGUAAAGCGCGCGUAGGCGGCUUUGCAAGUCGGGUGUGAAAUCCCCAGGCUUAACCUGGGAACUGCAUUCGAGACUGCAUUGCUAGAGUAUGGGAGAGGGAAGUGGAAUUUCAGGUGUAGCGGUGAAAUGCGUAGAUAUCUGAAGGAACAUCAGUGGCGAAAGCGACUUCCUGGACCAAUACUGACGCUCAUGUGCGAAAGCGUGGGGAGCAAACAGG